RNAcentral lists this ribosomal RNA (241 nucleotides) under uncultured bacterium. RNAcentral describes it as "partial 16S ribosomal RNA". It matches the Rfam family "Bacterial small subunit ribosomal RNA", at positions 28 to 265 of the family's 1533-position model. The record is from RNAcentral.
GACGAACGCUGGCGGCGUGCUUAACACAUGCAAGUCGAGCGGUAAGGCCCUUUCGGGGGUACGACGAGCGGCGAACGGGUGGAGUAACACGUGGGUGGACCUGCCCUCCAGCUCUGGGAGUAAGCCUGGGAAACCGGGGUCUAAUACUGGAUAUGACUCCAUGACGCAUGUUGUGGGGUGGAAAGCCUUGUGCGGCUGAGGAUGGGCCCGCGGCCUAUCAGCUUGUUGGUGGGGGAUGGCC